Molecule: unclassified non-coding RNA, 172 nt
Filed under: uncultured fungus
Lineage: Eukaryota; Fungi
Description: sequence contains ITS1, 5.8S rRNA gene
Source: RNAcentral
AUAAUGUUUGAAGUCUCGAAAGAGACUGAAAUCUGACUUUGUGGUAUAAAUGAAAGAAAUCUUGGGUUUAAAGAUGAUGUUUUUGAAAAAAGGCAUCGACCCAAAACUUUUUAUCAACUCUUUAAUAUUUGACUGAAAUUAUCAAGUAAUCGAAAGAUUAAAAAAGUUUAAA